GAUGAACGCUAGCUACAGGCUUAACACAUGCAAGUCGCGGGGCAGCAUGUAUCUGGCUUGCCAGAUACGAUGGCGACCGGCGCACGGGUGAGUAACGCGUAUCCAACCUGCCCAUAACCACGGCACAGCCCGUCGAAAGGCGGAUUAAUGCCGUAUGAGGUUCCAGAGUAGCAUUAUUAUGGAACGAAAGGAUUGGCGGUUAUGGAUGGGGAUGCGUCCGAUUAGCUAGUUGGCGGGGUAACGGCCCACCAAGGCGACGAUCGGUAGGGGUUCUGAGAGGAAGGUCCCCCACACUGGAACUGAGACACGGUCCAGACUCCUACGGGAGGCAGCAGUGAGGAAUAUUGGUCAAUGGGGCGAGAGCCUGAACCAGCCAAGUAGCGUGCAGGAAGACGGCCCUAUGGGUUGUAAACUGCUUUAUAGGGAAUAAAGUGAGCCACGUGUGGUUUUUU
RNAcentral lists this ribosomal RNA (452 nucleotides) under uncultured bacterium. RNAcentral's name for it is "bacterial SSU rRNA". It matches the Rfam family "Bacterial small subunit ribosomal RNA", at positions 28 to 470 of the family's 1533-position model. The record is from RNAcentral.